GAUGAACGCUGGCGGCGUGCCUAAUACAUGCAAGUCGAGCGAACAGACGAGGAGCUUGCUCCUCUGACGUUAGCGGCGGACGGGUGAGUAACACGUGGAUAACCUACCUAUAAGACUGGGAUAACUUCGGGAAACCGGAGCUAAUACCGGAUAACAUGUUGAACCGCAUGGUUCAACAGUGAAAGACGGUCUUGCUGUCAUUUAUAGAUGGAUCCGCGCCGCAUUAGCUAGUUGGUAAGGUAACGGCUUACCAAGGCAACGAUGCGUAGCCGACCUGAGAGGGUGAUCGGCCACACUGGAACUGAGACACGGUCCAGACUCCUACGGGAGGCAGCAGUAGGGAAUCUUCCGCAAUGGGCGAAAGCCUGACGGAGCAACGCCGCGUGAGUGAUGAAGGUCUUCGGAUCGUAAAACUCUGUUAUUAGGGAAGAACAAAUGUGUAAGUAACUAUGCACGUCUUGACGGUACCUAAUCAGAAAGCCACGGCUAACUACGUG
Molecule: ribosomal RNA, 497 nt
Filed under: uncultured bacterium
Lineage: Bacteria
Description: partial 16S ribosomal RNA
Rfam family: Bacterial small subunit ribosomal RNA
Source: RNAcentral